AUUGAACGCUGGCGGCAGGCUUAACACAUGCAAGUCGAGCGGGGUGAUGGUGCUUGCACUAUCACUUAGCGGCGGACAGGUGAGUAAUGCUUAGGAAUCUGCCUAUUAGUGGGGGACAACAUCUCGAAAGGGAUGCUAAUACCGCAUACGUCCUACGGGAGAAAGCAGGGGAUCACUUGUGACCUUGCGCUAAUAGAUGAGCCUAAGUCGGAUUAGCUAGUUGGUGGGGUAAAGGCCUACCAAGGCGACGAUCCGUAGCGGGUCUGAGAGGAUGAUCCGCCACACUGGGACUGAGACACGGCCCAGACUCUUACGGGAGGCAGCAGUGGGGAAUAUUGGACAAUGGGGGGAACCCUGAUCCAGCCAUGCCGCGUGUGUGAAGAAGGCCUUAUGGUUGUAAAGCACUUUAAGCGAGGAGGAGGCUCUUUUGGUUAAUACCCAAGAUGAGUGGACGUUACUCGCAGAAUAAGCACCGGCUAACUCUGUGCCAGCCGCCGCGGUAA
Molecule: ribosomal RNA, 503 nt
Filed under: uncultured bacterium
Lineage: Bacteria
Description: partial 16S ribosomal RNA
Rfam family: Bacterial small subunit ribosomal RNA
Source: RNAcentral